ACGAACGCUGGCGGCAUGCCUAACACAUGCAAGUCGAACGAGACCUUCGGGUCUAGUGGCGCACGGGUGCGUAACGCGUGGGAACCUGCCCUUAGGUUCGGAAUAACUCCCCGAAAGGGGUGCUAAUACCGGAUAAUGUCUUCGGACCAAAGAUUUAUCGCCUUUGGAUGGGCCCGCGUUGGAUUAGCUAGUUGGUAGGGUAAAAGCCUACCAAGGCGACGAUCCAUAGCUGGUCUGAGAGGAUGAUCAGCCACACUGGGACUGAGACACGGCCCAGACUCCUACGGGAGGCAGCAGUGGGGAAUAUUGGACAAUGGGCGAAAGCCUGAUCCAGCAAUGCCACGUGAGUGAUGAAGGCCUUAGGGUUGUAAAGCUCUUUUACCCGGGAUGAUAAUGACAGUACCGGGAGAAUAAGCUCCGGCUAACUCCGUG
Molecule: ribosomal RNA, 432 nt
Filed under: uncultured bacterium
Lineage: Bacteria
Description: partial 16S ribosomal RNA
Rfam family: Bacterial small subunit ribosomal RNA
Source: RNAcentral